CCUGAUCCAGUGUCUGACAAAAAUGAUUGGAAUUGCAGUUAGAAAGGGGAUCCAGGGUUUCUUGCAGCCUGUCAUGCCUUCAUGUCUUCGACGCUGGAGUGUGUCCGCCCAAAUGGUCUUCCCACUUCAUAACAACUCAAUUGCAAGCAUCCCGCCUCCAAACUGCAGUGUGGAGAAUUUUCAGUGUUGAGAGCUGGUGGUGGACUAGUAGGAAGAUGUCAUGCUAAGGAUGGGUUUUGGUGAUGAUGUUGCUGCUGUUGAUGCAGCAUCGAGCUCUCACUUUGUGCCUCUGUCAGCCUAUGAUGCGUAACCACAAAGUGAGUGACAGGCCAGUCCCCGGGGAGAGCAGGGGGCCUGAGCAAGAGAACUUUCGGCGAUGCUCCGGAAAAUAACUUCCAUUCCAGUCCAAUUUCUGCAUCCCGUCCCAGAAGAGAUGCUUAUUUCUGAGCCUUAUCUACCCAGAUUUCUGACAUUUUGUGCCACAUGCUACGUUUUACCACCAGUAUGAGACUUUUCUGUGGCGUGACGCGGCUAGAGGCCCAAACAAAGACCACUGCUGAUCACUUGACCACCUGAAUCUCACUUCUAGAGAUGAGACAAAUCAUUCCCCCGAUAGAAGCUUUUGUUCCAGGAGAAUGUGCCCAUGCAGCCUUACAGCUUCAGCUAUUGUUCAUGCAUCGGUGUCCCUAUCUGAACUUCAGGGAGCUUCCCUGCCUGUGAAUAUUUUGAUGAAGGUUCCUAUUGAUGCGCUGAAUGAAGGACCAAAACAACAGGCGAAUGUGUGCAUGUGAGGAGGAACAAGAAAAUGAAUGAAGUGUGUGGAGAUGUGUGCGUGCCAGGCAGGAAUAAAAUAAAAGUGAUAGUAAGAUGUGUGUGUGUGUGUGUGUGUGUGUGAGGGAGAGUAGGAGUUAGCGAGUGAGAAAGCUGUGUGUGGAGAAUGGGUUACUGAGGGGCGGGAGGGGGGGAAACCAGCCACCUGCAGCCAUGACAGGCUUUGACCUUCAUUGCUCUCUCUCUCCAGUGUGUCUCCCUCUUUCUCUCACCCCCUCCCUCCCUCCUUCCCUCCCUCUCUCUCUCUCUCUCUCUCCUCCUCUCGACUCCCAUUCCUGCCUCGUGAUAGAAGCGCAGGCUCCUUUCAGAAGCAGCGAGGAAGGCUGACCGUCGUGAAGACAGUGCUGGGAGCAGCCCUAUCUGCUCCAAUGCUAGUCACCGGCCGUUAGACAUGGCGUUCAAAGACUAGCGGUGCAAGUAUGGAAAUGCAGAUAAGGCAUUGUUGAGGAAACAUGCCUGGGAAUUGUUCAAGGCUUUCCCUUGCAUAAUGUUUGGAUGCUUUUGCGAAUGUUUUAAUCUCAAACCCCAUGAAUUUGAUCCUGCAUGAAUGUGAUCCUGAACCGCCUGUAGAACGAGUGGGCGUUUGCAUGGAAGGGAUUGUCAUGCUAUGCAAAUUAUUAAUGUUUGUGAUCACAUUUGUACAUAUUUGACACCUUGGCAACAUUUAUUUAAAACUAUAAUUGUGCAUAUUUCUCUUUUCUUGACUAUUCUAGCCAGUAAUGCGUUUGUUUUUUCGACAUGUUGAUGGCUGCAGAAGCUCAGCAGUGACUGAAGGUCACAGUUACUACUUCAGCCAGACCUCAUUUAUUUUUUCUGUGUAUUUAUGGAAAUCUAUGAACUCUCUGCUUCACACAAAGAUGCUAGAAACUCAUUUGUGUAUAAUC
Chelmon rostratus (copperband butterflyfish) is the source of this 1715-nucleotide long non-coding RNA. RefSeq lists it as uncharacterized. NCBI's taxonomy places the organism in Eukaryota, Metazoa, Chordata, Actinopteri, Chaetodontiformes, Chaetodontidae. The transcript has 5 exons. The record is from RefSeq and is a predicted model, not a curated record.